CUCAGGAUGUCUAUCACUGCUGCUACACACUCAGGAAGCAAACUGGAAUGUUCCAUCACUGCUGUUCUUCUCUAACUACCUGCACAAGACCAGCAUUUUGGACAUUGCACAAGCCUACCUCACCCGGAUCUGCAGCAGGCAAAAAAAGGCUUUGGAUUGGACAAUGUUGUUCCCUGCUGUGACCUGGUUCCUGUUGGUAGCAGGGAUGUUGAGUGUCUGGGCUCAGGACUACUAUGAAGAGAGAACAGUGAACAAGAGACCCAGGGGCAGGGGGGCCCAACUGCAAGCUCCAGCCAUUGCAACUAACGUGCAAAAACAUAAUGGACAAGCCAUUUUAGAUGAGGACUGCGGUCUGGAGCUUACCUUUCUGCUGGACAGCUCUGAGAGUGCCAAGGAGAACCAUGAGCAGGAGAAGCGCUUUGCCAUGGAUGUGGUGGACAGGCUCCAGGCCGCCCGUCUGCAGACCGGGCGCAGUCUGAGCUGGAAGGCGGCCCUGCUGCAGUACAGCAGUCACGUCAUCAUCGAGCAGACCUUCAAGCAGUGGAAGGGCACCGACAACUUCAAGUCCCACAUCACCCCCAUUGUCUACAUCGGCCACGGCACCUACACCACCUACGCCAUCACCAACAUGACCAAAAUGUACCUGGAGGAGUCCAGCCCAGGCAACAUCAAGGUGGCCAUGCUGCUCACUGACGGCAUCUCCCACCCCAGGAACCCAGACAUCUUCUCAGCUGCCGCUGACGCCAAGAACCAGGGGGUGAAGUUCUUCACGGUGGGCAUCACCCGUGCAGCCAACGAGUCAGCCAACGUGGCCCAGCUGAGUUUGUUGGCCAGUUCUCCUGCCUCCCGAUACCUCCACAACCUGCAGGAUAUUGACAUUGUGGAGAAAGUCCUCAAAGAAAUUACUUACCUGGCUGAUGAAGGGUGUCCCCCGGCCCAACAAUGUGCCUGUGAGAAGGGCGAAAGAGGACUCAGUGGCUUAGCCGGGAAGAAGGGUCGCCCUGGAGAUGAUGGAGCCCCUGGUCUCAAAGGAUUGAAGGGAGAGGGAGGACUAAGUGGACUUCCAGGUCGGGAUGGCGGAGAAGGAAAAUCUGGUUACAAAGGAGAGAGGGGUGAGAGAGGCGAGUGUGGCACUCCAGGAAUUAAAGGGGACAGGGGUCCUGAGGGCCCAAUGGGCACCAGAGGAGUCAGAGGUCUCCAGGGUUUACCCGGUCCACAGGGUGACGUUGGACCUGAGGGCCCUCAGGGUAAUAAGGGUGAUCGGGGUCAAGCUGGCCCGGCCGGAAUUCAGGGAGUAAAUGGUAUUGGACUUCCUGGACCAAAGGGUGAUCUGGGAUUCCAGGGAAAACCCGGCCCCCCUGGUCCGACAGGGUUGAGUGAAUAUGGCCAGCCAGGGCCUCAAGGGCCACAAGGUUUUCAAGGGGAGAAAGGACCCCACGGAGAGGGGCUCCCUGGGCCAAAGGGAGACCGGGGGCUGGCCGGACCGAGGGGGCCAAGAGGACAGACGGGUGCAGGAAUCAAAGGAGAAAAGGGUGAGUUCGGGCCUCCAGGUCAUCCAGGACUUGUUGGACUUACAGGAGCGGGCAUCCAGGGGGAGAAGGGAGUGGAGGGUCCCAGAGGUCCACCUGGAGGCAGAGGACCUCAAGGAGAGGGCUUACCUGGACCUAAGGGUGAUCAAGGUUUCCCUGGAGAGCUCGGAGCUACAGGGGAGAGAGGUGUUGGUGAGCCAGGGCCAAAGGGUGAGCUUGGUACAUCUGGCCUGGCUGGCUUACCUGGUCUUCCAGGCGAGGACGGGGCUCCAGGACAGAAGGGUGAGGCAGGUGUAGCUGGUAUAAGAGGUCCUGAUGGAGCAGCAGGGAUCGGCACCCAGGGCGAGAAGGGAGACCAGGGUCAGAGGGGCAUCCGUGGAUUACAUGGACCUCCUGGCAUGACCGGACCCUCAGGGGCAAAGGGGGAGCCUGGCACACCAGGCCGACUGGGCAUGCCAGGACUACCGGGACGGGCCAUUGCAGGUCCCAAGGGUGAUCUAGGCCCACCUGGUCCCUCUGGGCCGACUGGAGAGACAGGCUAUGGGCUACCUGGGCCAAAGGGUGACCGUGGUCAUCCUGGUCCAUCAGGACCUUUUGGAUCCAAAGGGGAAGGUUUCCCUGGUCCAGUGGGUCCUCCAGGCCUUCCAGGUCUACAGGGAGAGCAGGGACCUGAGGGCAUUGGCAUCCCAGGACCUAAGGGAGACAUUGGCUUCAGAGGAUUGCCAGGUUUGCCAGGCCCAAAAGGAAAGGGUGUGCAAGGACCACCGGGUAACAUUGGAAGGAAAGGACCCCCUGGUCCAAAUGGGCCCCCAGGGGAAGGUCUGCAGGGCCCCAAGGGUGAGCAGGGGUCUCAGGGUGUGACAGGGCCAAGGGGACCCAUAGGGGAAGGAUUCCCAGGAGGUAAGGGUGACCGUGGCUUGCAGGGUGAGAGAGGAAAUAAGGGUGUAAAGGGGGGCAUGGGAGAUUCUGGGGUUCCUGGAGAGUCUGGGAGGCCAGGAGUAAAGGGUGAAGUGGGGCUUACAAGAGAAGACAUCAUUAAAUUGAUCAAGGAAUUAUGUGGAUGUGGAAUCAAGUGCAAGGAGAGGCCAAUGGAGCUUGUAUUCGUCAUUGACAGCUCAGAGAGCGUUGGUCCGGAAAACUUUGAAAUCAUCAAGGACUUCGUCACAGCGCUGGUGGACCGUACCACUGUUGGACGUAACGCCACCAGAAUUGGAUUAGUCCUGUACAGUCUGGAUGUCCACCUGGAGUUCAAUCUGGCGCGCUACAUGACCAAACAAGAUGUCAAGCAGGCCAUCAGGAAGAUGUCCUACGUGGGUGAGGGAACCUAUACUAGCACCGCCAUCCGGAAGGCUACCCAGGAGGCCUUCUACAGUGCCCGUACUGGGGUUAGGAAAGUGGCCAUUGUUAUCACAGAUGGACAGACAGACAAACGAGAGCCUGUGAAGCUGGACAUUGCUGUGAGGGAGGCCCAUGCUGCCAACAUUGAGAUGUAUGCCCUGGGGAUUGUCAACACCUCAGAUACAACCCAGGCCGGGUUCCUGCGUGAACUAAAUCUGAUCGCCUCUGACCCUGACAGUGAACAUAUGUACCUCAUCGACGAUUUCAACACUCUACCAGCUCUGGAGUCAAAGCUUGUUAGCCAGUUCUGUGAGGAUGAGAAUGGAGCCCUUGUGUUGAAUCGCAACACUAAUGGCUUUGGAAGAAAUGGGAACAACGGCUAUGGGAACAACGGACAGGGGAAUAGCGGACAGGGGAAUAACGGACAGGGGAAUAACGGACAGGGGAAUAACGGACAGGGGAAUAACGGACAGGGGAAUAACGGACAGGGGAAUAACGGACAGGGAAUAACGGACAGGGGAAUAACGGACAGGGGAAUAACGGACAGGGGAAUAACGGACAGGGGAAUAACGGACAGGGGAAUAAUGAACAUGGAAACAACUAUAAUGAGGAUCCUAUCCUAAAUCCAAGUGGACGCACCAGUUCCCAGAGUCACAUCAGAGGCCGUGGAGAUAACUUUGUUCUGCCCCUCAAUGCUGGACCACUCCCAGUGCAGGUGGAUGAUGAAGAGGGUGAAGAUUUAGACGUCAGGACCUACGUGCGAGGAGGUAGUACUGUGGCUGAAGCUAACGAAACAGUAUCCAUCUUCCCUGCAAAGGAAAGCUCCCACUCCAACACAGCUGUCUCGUCAUCAGGAUCAGCAUCAGCAUCCUCAGGAACAACAGGUUCAGCUUCAUCAUCCAGCGAGGGCCAAUUUCAGCCUGUAUCAAUUCCUAUCCCUAAUUCUAUUUCCCCCCAAGAGUCCGUCUCGCUCAAUCCCCGCUGUAACCUGAGUUUGGACCAAGGCACCUGUCAAGAGUACAACAUCCAGUGGUAUUACGACAAACAGGCCAAUUCCUGUGCCCAGUUCUGGUAUGGAAGCUGUGAAGGAAAUGCCAACCGCUUUGAGACAGAGGAUGUGUGUAAGAAGACCUGUGUUCUAUCUAGAACAGCGGGUUAAAACAGGCAGAUGAUCAAUCAACUCAUCAGAACAAUCUGCCAUGGAACCAACUAAGCAAAGUGCAGAGGAUGUUUAAUAAUAGUGUACUACUGAUAUUUAAAAAUGGUAUAUUUACAACAGGCAUUUUAUCAUUGGAAAUAGCGUUAUUUUUGCAGCUCUCUGUGUCUCUCUCUCUUGAGGUGUAGAGAAUAAGGGAAGGACAUGCCACUUCUAGAUUUCAUGAAGUUGCCUUUCUUUUCAGAUGUAUGGUUAUCUGUGGACUUUAUUUACAGAAGUCUGAAUUUGUGAAGAAAAUAUAACGUUGCUAUGGUAACUGUUUCAUUACAUUUGAAAAGUGAUCCUAUACCUUACUCUUAUUAUAUUGAUGUUGGAUUAACUAAUCCAUUCAAUACCUCAAUGUUACUCAACCGUAAGCUGUACUGAACAAAGGGGAUAGUUUCAAGCCCAGCGUUUGUCAUUUCAGGUUUACCUGAGAAAAACAUCACACAAUACAAUUCUCAUACCUCUUAGCCAUAAGCACAUUGUGCUGCCAUUAUGCUGUCCCACAAUAUCGUUUUAUAAUAUAGGGAUAGUCUUCUAGAAUACAUUAUUUUUUUUUAGUAUACGUCUGAAUUCAGUAAUUGUAUUUUAAAGCAAACUAAAUUAAAUAGGUGCUGUAAUUAUUUUUCUUGUUUGUUUAAUGAUAUGUAUUCGUCCGUUUUAGGGUCACACAUGCCAGGCCUAUAAGUGACAAUAUGCAACUUCACCUAUGUAUUUUUCUUCCAAAGUGUUUUGGGAAAUCGCACGUUGCUGUUGAUGAAAAAGCUAACUUUGAAAUGAAUCACAUUUUUUACAUGUGUACUGGUUUUGAUGAUUUUGUUUUGUAUUUGUUUUUAUUGAUUGAAAAAGGAUAGAUAGAUAGAUAGAUAGAUAGAUAGAUAGAUAGAUAGAUAGAUAGAUAGAUAGAUAGAUAGAUAGAUAGAUAGAUAGAUAGAUAGAUAGAUAGACAGACAACUUCACAAAACAGUGGGAAGCUUUGGAGUCACCAUGGGCCAGCAUCCCUGUAGAACACCUUUUAGCGUCCAUGCCCUGACGAAUUGAGGCUGUUCUGGAGGCAAAAGAGGGUGCAACUCAAUAUUAGAAAGGGGUUCCUAAUGUUUUGUACACUCAGUGUAUUUGGCCUUGUGUUUUAGGUUGUUUUCCUGCUGAAAGGUGAAUUUGUCUCCCUGUGUCUGUUGGAAAGCAGACUGAACCACGCUUUCCUCUAGGACUUGCCUGUGCUUAGCUAUAUUCCUUUUCUUUUUAUCCUAAAAAGCUCCCUGGUCCUUGCUGAUGACAAGCAUCCUCAUAACAUGAUGUAGAACCACCAUGCUUGAAAAUAUGAAAAGUGGUACUCAGUGAUGGACUGUAUUAGAUUUGCCCCAAACAUAAUGCUUUGUAUUGAGGUCAAAACGUACAUUUCUUUGCCACAUGUUUUGCAGUGUUACUUUAAUGCCUUAUUGCAAACAGGAUGCAUAUAUUUGAAUAUUUUUAUUCUGUUCAGGCUUCCUUCUUUUCAUUCUGUAAUUUAGGUUAUUAUUGUGGAGUAACUACAUUGUUGUUGAUCCAUCACCAUCUCCUUUUAAAAUCACCAUUGGUAUCAUGGUGACAUCCCUGAGCGGUUUCCUUCCUCUCCGUCAACUGAGUUAGGAAGGACGCCUGUAUCUUUGUAGUGACUGGGUGUAUUGAUGCACCAUCAAAAGUGUAAUUAAUAACUUCACCAUGAUCAAAGGGAUAUUCAAUGUCUGUUUUUUACCCAUCUAACAAUAGGUGCCAUUCUUUUGCGAGUCAUUGGAAAACGUCUCUAGUCUUUGUCGUUGAAGCUGUGCUUGAAAUUCACUGCUCAACUGAAGGACCUUACAGAUAAUUGUAUGUAUGGGGUACAGAGAUGGGGUAGUCAUUCAAAAAUCAUGUUAAACACCAUUAUUGCACACAGAAUUAGUCCAUACAACUUAUCUGACUUUUUAAAGGUUAAAGGACAUUUUUACUCAUGAAGUUAUUUAGGCUUGCCAUAACAAAGGGGUUGAAUACUUAUUGACACCAGACAUUUCAGCUUUUAGUCUUUUAUUAAUUUGUACAAAAUUCUAAAAACAGAAUUCCACUUUGACAUUGUGGGGCAUUGUGUGUAGAUCAGUGACACACAUCUACAUUUUAUCCAUUUUAAAUUCCAAGUUGUAAUACAACAAAAUGUGGAAAAAAUUAAAGGGGUGUGAAUACUUUCUGAAGGCACUGAUUCUUGAAGACGAAAUGCCUCAUGAGCUUAGUUCAACUGUCCCCAUCAGAACCCAAAAUAUAAGCUUGUUUUACAAACACUGCAUAGCCUCAAAACAUGGUUCAAACUAUAAUUUAGAAAAUAUCACGGAUGGUCAGUCCUUGCAUCCAUAGCUCUGUCUAUGAAUUUGAGAGCAGUUUACCGAAACAGCGGUUAUUGUUUGAACAGCAGAUUGCCCCUUUUAACCAAGCUCCAACCCUCCCCAUGUGCCUUUUUGUGUUCGUUCUUCAACUGUGAAUAAAUAUAAUUUUGGGAUUCUUA
This is an RNA transcript of Oncorhynchus keta (chum salmon), 6577 nucleotides long. It is a transcript of the gene named collagen alpha-1(XXVIII) chain, with no coding region annotated. The record is from RefSeq and is a predicted model, not a curated record. The transcript is spliced from 36 exons. Lineage: Eukaryota; Metazoa; Chordata; Actinopteri; Salmoniformes; Salmonidae.